This 1176-nucleotide ribosomal RNA is filed under the name Triticum aestivum (bread wheat). RNAcentral's name for it is "partial small subunit ribosomal RNA". The record is from RNAcentral. Lineage: Eukaryota; Viridiplantae; Streptophyta; Magnoliopsida; Poales; Poaceae.
AUGCUCCGCCUGCGAGAAUCCAUCGUUUCCCAUCUCCUCUCUUCACCCUCCGCCCCUGCCACAUCCCCACUCCGCCGCCUCCUCUCCGCUGCCGCGGCCGCCAUUUCUCCGAACCCCGCUGGAUUCGCCGUCGAGGAGUACCUCAUCGACACCUGCGGCCUCACCCGGCCCCAGGCGCUCAAGGCCUCCACCAAGCUCUCCCACCUCAAGUCCCCUGCCAACCCCAACGCCGUCCUCGCCUUCCUCUCCGGCCUCGGCCUCUCCGGCGCCGAUGCCGCCGCCGUCGUCGCCAAAGACCCGCUUUUCCUCUGCGCCGGCGUGGAGAGAACCCUGGUCCCCGUCGUCGACGGGCUCGCCGGCCUCCGCCUGUCGCGCCCUGACAUCGCCCGCCUCCUCUCGCUCGUCCGCAGCAACUUCCGCUGCAGAUCCAUCAUCUCCAAGGUGCAGUACUGCCUGCCCCUCUUCGGCUCCUUGGACAACCUCCUCCGCGCGGUCCGGCGCUCAUCCUACCUUCUCUCGUCGGACCUGGACAAGGUGAUCAACCCCAAUGUCGUGUUCCUGCGGGAGUGCGGGCUAGGCGAUUGCGACAUUGCCAAGCUGUGUUACCGUGUGCCGAGGAUCCUGACAACCAACCCGGAGCACGUCCGGGCGAUGGCGGCGUGCGCCGAAAGAUUAGGGGUUCCCAGGGGCUCCGGUAUGUUCAGGGAAGCGCUGCAUGCUGUCGCAUUCUUCAGUGAGGAGAAGAUUGCUGACAAAGUGGAUUAUCUGAAGAAGACGAUCAGGUGGUCUGAUACCGAGGUGGCCAUUGCUCUGUCCAAGGCUCCAGUGUUGCUGAGGAAGUCCAAAGACCUGCUUAGGCGCAGGUCUGAGUUCUUGCUAUCUGAACUCGGGUUGGAACCGGCCUACAUUGCUCAUCGGCCGGUGAUACUCUAUUAUAGCCUGGAGGGCCGGCUCAGGCCUCGACACUAUGUGUUAAAGUUUCUCAAGGAAACUGGAUUGGCCGAUCGCGACUGGAGCUUCUAUAAUGUGGUCACGAGGACCGAGAAGGAUUUCGUGGACAAGUACAUAUGCCCUCACAAGGAAGCUGCGCCACACCUUGCCGAAGACUAUGCAACCGCUUGCAAAGGGCAGGUGCCAACUAACUUCAGAUUUUUACUUCAACCAAAAGUGGGCUGA